GGAGCGGGAGGGGAGGAAAGUCCGGGCAACAAAGGGCACCGCGCUUCCUAACGGGAAGAUCUUCGUGAGGGGAUAGCCGCGUAACAGAAAACAACCGCCGCUCGUUCAGAACGGUAAGGGUGAAAAGGCGGGGUAAGAGCCCACCGCGACCAUGGUGACAUGUGCCGGCCGUACGUCUCGCGGGUUGCAAGACCAUGUAUACCGACAGUUUUAAGGACGGCCCGUCCGAUGUCGGGGGGUAGGUUGCUGAUGAGCCGGCGGGUGACCGUCGACCUAGAUAAAUGACAGAGGCCUCGAUUCGAGGUACAGAACCCGGCUUACACGCCCUG
This 329-nucleotide RNase P RNA is filed under the name uncultured Alistipes sp. RNAcentral describes it as "Bacterial RNase P class A". It matches the Rfam family "Bacterial RNase P class A", at positions 31 to 359 of the family's 367-position model. Rfam says of the family: Ribonuclease P (RNase P) is a ubiquitous endoribonuclease, found in archaea, bacteria and eukarya as well as chloroplasts and mitochondria. Its best characterised activity is the generation of mature 5'-ends of tRNAs by cleaving the 5'-leader elements of precursor-tRNAs. Cellular RNase Ps are ribonucleoproteins. The record is from RNAcentral. Lineage: Bacteria; Pseudomonadati; Bacteroidota; Bacteroidia; Bacteroidales; Rikenellaceae.